Molecule: ribosomal RNA, 510 nt
Filed under: uncultured bacterium
Lineage: Bacteria
Description: bacterial SSU rRNA
Rfam family: Bacterial small subunit ribosomal RNA
Source: RNAcentral
AACGAACGCUGGCGGCAUGCCUAACACAUGCAAGUCGAACGAGACCUUCGGGUCUAGUGGCGCACGGGUGCGUAACGCGUGGGAACCUGCCUUUAGGUUCGGAAUAACUCCCCGAAAGGGGUGCUAAUACCGAAUAAUGUCUUCGGACCAAAGAUUUAUCGCCUUUAGAUGGGCCCGCGUAAGAUUAGGUAGUUGGUGGGGUAAAGGCCUACCAAGCCGACGAUCUUUAGCUGGUCUGAGAGGAUGAUCAGCCACACUGGGACUGAGACACGGCCCAGACUCCUACGGGAGGCAGCAGUGGGGAAUAUUGGACAAUGGGCGAAAGCCUGAUCCAGCAAUGCCGCGUGAGUGAUGAAGGCCUUAGGGUUGUAAAGCUCUUUUACCAGGGAUGAUAAUGACAGUACCUGGAGAAUAAGCUCCGGCUAACUCCGUGCCAGCAGCCGCGGUAAUACGGAGGGAGCUAGCGUUGUUCGGAAUUACUGGGCGUAAAGCGCACGUAGGCGGCGAUUC